RNAcentral lists this ribosomal RNA (262 nucleotides) under Rhizophagus intraradices. The record is from RNAcentral. Lineage: Eukaryota; Fungi; Glomeromycota; Glomeromycetes; Glomerales; Glomeraceae.
CAGUCGUGCCUGUAGUUGCUCAUCCGAGCCUCCGCUCGGUGCACUCUUCUAUGGGCAGGCCAGCAUCAGUUUGGGCGGUCGGAUAAAGGCUUCGGGAAUGUAGCUCCCCUGGGGAGUGUUAUAGCCUCCUGUCACAUGUGCCGGAUUAGACUGAGGAACGCAGCUUGCAGCAAUGCCGGGUUCGCCCAGUACAAGCUUAGGAUGUUGACAUAAUGGCUUUAAACGACCCGUCUUGAAACACGGACCAAGGAGUCUAACAUAU